UCCACGCCCUAAACGAUGUCAACUAGGUGUUGGGUGGGUAAAACCAUUUAGUACCGGAGCUAACGCGUGAAGUUGACCGCCUGGGGAGUACGGCCGCAAGGUUAAAACUCAAAGGAAUUGACGGGGACCCGCACAAGCGGUGGAUGAUGUGGAUUAAUUCGAUGCAACGCGAAAAACCUUACCUACCCUUGACAUGUCCAGAAGCCCGAAGAGAUUUGGGUGUGCCCGAAAGGG
Molecule: ribosomal RNA, 234 nt
Filed under: uncultured bacterium
Lineage: Bacteria
Description: partial 16S ribosomal RNA
Rfam family: Bacterial small subunit ribosomal RNA
Source: RNAcentral